UACGUAGGUGGCAAGCGUUAUCCGGAUUUAUUGGGCGUAAAGAGAACGCAGGCGGUCUUUUAAGUCUGAUGUGAAAGCCUUCGGCUUAACCGGAGUAGUGCAUUGGAAACUGGGAGACUUGAGUGCAGAAGAGGAGAGUGGAACUCCAUGUGUAGCGGUGAAAUGCGCAGAUAUAUGGAAGAACACCAGUGGCGAAAGCGGCUCUCUGGUCUGUAACUGACGCUGAGGUUCGAAAGCGUGGGUAGCAAACAGG
This 253-nucleotide ribosomal RNA is filed under the name uncultured bacterium. RNAcentral's name for it is "partial 16S ribosomal RNA". It matches the Rfam family "Bacterial small subunit ribosomal RNA", at positions 524 to 776 of the family's 1533-position model. The record is from RNAcentral.